CCUACGGGAGGCAGCAGUGGGGGAUAUUGCACAAUGGGGGGGACCCUGAUGCAGCGAAGCCGCGUGGGUGAAGAAGCGCCUCGGCGCGUAAAGCCCUGUCAGCAGGGAAGAAAAUGACGGUACCUGAAGAAGAAUCCACUGCUGACUACGUGCCAGCAGCCGCGGUAAUACGUAGGGGGCAAGCGUUAUCCGGAUUUGCUGGGUGUAAAGGGGGCGCAGACGGCUUUGCAAGCCAGGUGUGAAAGCCCGGGGCCCAACCGCGGGACUGCUAGUGAAACUGGGUGGCUGGAGUGCAGGAGGGGCAGGCGGAAUUCCUGGUGUAGCGGUGAAAUGCGUAGAUAUCAGGAGGAACACCGGUGGCGAAGGCGGCCUGCUGGACUGCAACUGACGUUGAGGCCCGAAAGCGUGGGGAGCAAACAGGAGUAGAUACCCUUGUAGUC
Molecule: ribosomal RNA, 440 nt
Filed under: uncultured bacterium
Lineage: Bacteria
Description: partial 16S ribosomal RNA
Rfam family: Bacterial small subunit ribosomal RNA
Source: RNAcentral